Molecule: transfer RNA, 72 nt
Filed under: Amanita inopinata
Lineage: Eukaryota; Fungi; Basidiomycota; Agaricomycetes; Agaricales; Amanitaceae
Description: tRNA-Gly
Rfam family: tRNA
About the family: Transfer RNA (tRNA) molecules are approximately 80 nucleotides in length. Their secondary structure includes four short double-helical elements and three loops (D, anti-codon, and T loops).
Source: RNAcentral
GUGAUUAUAGUUAAAUAGGUAUAACGCUUGUUUACCAAACAAAAGUUGUCAGUUCAAUUCUGAUUAAUCAUA